AUCCGGCUAACGAGUCCCAAAUAGAAGGAAACAUGUGUACUGGAU
RNAcentral lists this non-coding RNA (45 nucleotides) under Schistosoma haematobium. The record is from RNAcentral. RNAcentral also lists the same sequence under 2 other names. Lineage: Eukaryota; Metazoa; Platyhelminthes; Trematoda; Strigeidida; Schistosomatidae.